AGGGAGCCCCAUCACUUCUUGAAGUCACUGAUCUUAUCUGAUUUCAGAAGCUAAGCAGGACUGGGUCUGGUUAGUGCUUGGAUGGGAAAUGCUGGCUCAGCCUAGGAAAUAAGCCUACCUGAAAUCCAGCUGCCAUU
RNAcentral lists this ribosomal RNA (137 nucleotides) under Pogona vitticeps (central bearded dragon). Lineage: Eukaryota; Metazoa; Chordata; Lepidosauria; Squamata; Agamidae. The record is from RNAcentral.